This 433-nucleotide ribosomal RNA is filed under the name uncultured bacterium. Its description in RNAcentral is "partial 16S ribosomal RNA". It matches the Rfam family "Bacterial small subunit ribosomal RNA", at positions 29 to 507 of the family's 1533-position model. The record is from RNAcentral.
AACGAACGCUGGCGGCAUGCCUAACACAUGCAAGUCGAACGAGACCUUCGGGUCUAGUGGCGCACGGGUGCGUAACGCGUGGGAACCUGCCCUUAGGUUCGGAAUAACUCCCCGAAAGGGGUGCUAAUACCGGAUAAUGUCUUCGGACCAAAGAUUUAUCGCCUUUGGAUGGGCCCGCGUUGGAUUAGCUAGUUGGUAGGGUAAAAGCCUACCAAGGCGACGAUCCAUAGCUGGUCUGAGAGGAUGAUCAGCCACACUGGGACUGAGACACGGCCCAGACUCCUACGGGAGGCAGCAGUGGGGAAUAGUGGACAAUGGGCGAAAGCCUGAUCCAGCAAUGCCGCGUGAGUGAUGAAGGCCUUAGGGUCGUAAAGCUCUUUUACCCGGGAUGAUAAUGACAGUACCGGGAGAAUAAGCUCCGGCUAACUCCGUG